CCUCUAACUUCACAUGUAUGGGAGUUUGCAUUCCUAAAUUCGACAUUUUCCCAAAAGUUCAAACGCACUGGCCCCGCAGACAUCAUCUCUGGGCCAAGAUUUAAAAGGUUCCGCAAUCGCCACCCCUGUCCACCUGUUUCAGCUAUUCCACUGCUCUCCUCAAACCCCCUUCCUCAAAAUCUGCAAUUUUCCUCUGCUCUUCCUUCAUAUAACUAUUUAGCUAAUGAUACUCUGACCUACUGCAUGUGUAAUAUUACUCCCCCUCCACCUGUUCCAACCCUGCACUGCCUUGUUUCCACAGUGUGCAAGUUAUUAAUCAACUGCUACGUGUUCACAGUGUGCAAGUUAUUAAUCAACUGCUACGUGUUCACAGUGUGCAAGUUAUUAAUCAACUGCUACGUGUUCACAGUGUGCAAGUUAUUAACAACUGCUAUGUGUUCACAGUGUGCAGGUUAUUAACAACUGCUAUGUGUUCACAGUGUGCAGGUUAUUAACAACUGCUACGUGUUCACAGUGUGCAGGUUAUUAACAACUGCUACGUGUUCACAGUGUACAGGUUAUUAACAACUGCUACGUGUUCACAGUGUGCAGGUUAUUAACAACUGCUAUGUGUUCACAGUGUGCAGGUUAUUAACAACUGCUAUGUGUUCACAGUGUACAGGUUAUUAACAACUGCUAUGUGUCCACAGUGUACAGGUUAUUAAUCAACUGCUAUGUGUUCACAGUGUACAGGUUAUUAAUCAACUGUUAUGUGUUCACAGUGUGCAGGUUAUUAAUCAACUGUUAUGUGUUCACAGUGUACAGGUUAUUAAUCAACUGUUAUGUGUUCACAGUGUACAGGUUAUUAAUCAACUGUUAUGUGUUCACAGUGUAUAUGUUAUUAAUCAACUGUUAUGUGUUCACAGUGUGCAGGUUAUUAACAACUGCUAUGUGUUCACAGUGUACAGGUUAUUAACAACUGCUAUGUGUCCACAGUGUACAGGUUAUUAAUCAACUGCUAUGUGUUCACAGUGUGCAAGUUAUUAAUCAACUGCUAUGUGUUCACAGUGUGCAAGUUAUUAACAACUGCUACGUGUUCACAGUGUGCAAGUUAUUAAUCAACUGCUACGUGUUCACAGUGUACAGGUUAUUAAUCAACUGCUAUGUGUCCACAGUGUACAGGUUAUUAAUCAACUGCUGUGUUCACAGUUUGCAGGUUAAUAAUCAACUACUAUAUGUUCAGUGUGCAGGUUAUUAACAACUGCUAUGUGUUCACAGUGUAUAUGUUAUUAAUCAACUGCUAUGUGUUCACAGUAUGCAGGUUAUUAAUCAACUGCUGUGUCCACAGUGUGCAGGUUAUUAAUCAACUGCUGUGUUCACAGUUUGCAGGUUAUUAAUCAACUGCUAUGUGUUCACAGUGUGCAGGUUAUUAACAACUGCUAUGUGUUCACAGUGUAUACGUUAUUAAUCAACUGUUAUGUGUUCACAGUGUGCAGGUUAUUAAUCAACUGUUAUGUGUUCACAGUGUACAGGUUAUUAAUCAACUGUUAUGUGUCCACAGUGUGCAGGUUAUUAAUCAAGUGCUGUGUUCACAGUUUGCAGGUUAUUAAUCAACUGUUAUGUGUUCACAGUGUACAGGUUAUUAAUCAACU
Oncorhynchus kisutch (coho salmon) is the source of this 1631-nucleotide long non-coding RNA. Lineage: Eukaryota; Metazoa; Chordata; Actinopteri; Salmoniformes; Salmonidae. The record is from Ensembl.